This is a long non-coding RNA of Rhinichthys klamathensis goyatoka, 427 nucleotides long. RefSeq lists it as uncharacterized. The record is from RefSeq and is a predicted model, not a curated record. The transcript is spliced from 4 exons. Lineage: Eukaryota; Metazoa; Chordata; Actinopteri; Cypriniformes; Leuciscidae.
AGUGGAGCUGAUCUUCAUCUCUAAAGCACUAUUGAUGAACCAUAUGAUUAAACAAGUCUGUGACUGACUUAAUGAACCCAGUUGCUUUGGAUCAUGCUCAAAGAUGUAAGGGUUACAAAAAGUUAACCAGAACUCUUAUGGACUCCAUCUUCUCUUUCGAAGAGAUGGCAGCAUGGACGGAAAAAAAGGGGUUGUUGGUGAAAAAAGAGCCUUGACCUACAAAAGGUGCAGCUAAUAAUUGACCAUGUCAAAAAGAGGCACCCAGGCAUCGGAGGCACUGAGAUCAAGGUCUGCAUGGCACAAAAGUUAAAAGAUCUGAGGAGACGAGCAGAAAGGAUGCCUGCUGCAGGAGACACAAAGGACUGAGACAACACACUUUCACAAACGCACACCACACACACACACAUGCGCGUAUACCUGCGUUUUU